Molecule: ribosomal RNA, 368 nt
Filed under: uncultured organism
Description: bacterial SSU rRNA
Rfam family: Bacterial small subunit ribosomal RNA
Source: RNAcentral
CGAAGGUGGCAAGCGUUGUUCGGAUUUACUGGGCGUACAGGGAGCGUAGGCGGUUCGGUAAGCCCUCUGUGAAAUCUCCAGGCUUAACCUGGAACAGCCGGAGGGGACUGCUGGGCUAGAGGACGGGAGAGGAGCGCGGAAUUCCCGGUGUAGCGGUGAAAUGCGUAGAGAUCGGGAGGAAGGCCGGUGGCGAAGGCGGCGCUCUGGAACGUUUCUGACGCUGAGGCUCGAAAGCGUGGGGAGCAAACAGGAUUAGAUACCCUGGUAGUCCACGCCUUAAACUAUGAAUACUAAGUGUCGGCGGGUUACCGCCGGUGCCGCAGCUAACGCAUUAAGUAUUCCGCCUGGGAAGUACGGCCGCAAGGUUG